AUACGGAGGGUGCAAGCGUUAAUCGGAAUUACUGGGCGUAAAGCGCACGCAGGCGGUUUGUUAAGUCAGAUGUGAAAUCCCCGGGCUCAACCUGGGAACUGCAUCUGAUACUGGCAAGCUUGAGUCUCGUAGAGGGGGGUAGAAUUCCAGGUGUAGCGGUGAAAUGCGUAGAGAUCUGGAGGAAUACCGGUGGCGAAGGCGGCCCCCGGGGCAAAGCGUGACCCUCAGGUGCGAAAGCGUGGGGAGCAAACAGGAUUAGAUCCCCGGGUAGCCCACGCCGUAAACGAUGUCGACUUGGAGGUUGUGCCCUUGAGGCGUGGCUUCCGGAGCUAACGCGUUAAGUCGACCGCCUGGGGAGUACGGCCGCAAGGUUAAAACUCAAAUGAAUUGACGGGG
RNAcentral lists this ribosomal RNA (396 nucleotides) under uncultured bacterium. RNAcentral describes it as "partial 16S ribosomal RNA". It matches the Rfam family "Bacterial small subunit ribosomal RNA", at positions 523 to 918 of the family's 1533-position model. The record is from RNAcentral.